Suricata suricatta (meerkat) is the source of this 670-nucleotide long non-coding RNA. RefSeq lists it as uncharacterized. NCBI's taxonomy places the organism in Eukaryota, Metazoa, Chordata, Mammalia, Carnivora, Herpestidae. The record is from RefSeq and is a predicted model, not a curated record. The transcript has 3 exons.
GUUGAUGAGGUAGCGAGAGCCUUCAAGUGUCUGCUGUUUAUUUAUCUCUGAGGGAAAGGAGCCAGAUGGGAUCUGAAUUCGACAGCAGAGGCAGGGCAGCAGGAAGGCUGUUUUAAGAUGGGGGAACUAAGCAGAGGGGGACCCAAGGAGACUGUGACGACGGGACAGAGUGAAUAAACGAAGGGACUGAAGUGGGAGAGAUCCUUGCAGUGAAGACCUCUUCCCUCACCCCUGGAAGUCAGGCGAGGCCACACGAGGUCGGCACCAGACUGGACUGAGGCAGCAAGAACAAAUGCUACGUGGAGCGCUCGCCCUGUGCACACCAGGUGAAUGUUAGCAUUGAUACUUCACAGAUGAGAAAACCGAAGCUCAGAAAUGUACUUGCCUGAAGCCACACAGCCAGCAAUCUAGGAUCUGAACUCCCUAUCUGUGCUCUUUGCGACUACCUAGACAAAGAAUCUCACGUCCACCAUAAGAAAAUCUUUCUGGUACUGUAGGUUGAGCUUAAGAAAUAACUGGACAAGGGGCGCUUGGGGGGCUCAGUCAGUUAGGCAGCCGACUUCAGCUCAGGUGAUUCGCAGUUUGAGAAUUCGGGCCCCACAUAGGACUCUGUGCUGAAAGCUCAGAGACUGGAGCCUGCUUUGGUUUCUGUGUCUCUCACUCUCUGCCU